UUGAUCUGGGAAAGCAACAAAACACAGCUCUAAGGCAAACAUGAUCAUGGGCGACAAGCCAGACUUGAGGUCAACCAUUCAAGGCACGAUUGUUCAUUCAAAAUGGAAAAACCCCAACCAUCCGCUUUAUCUCCACCACUCAGACCAACCUGGUGCAAUCAUCGUGCCACAACCAUUAGUGGAAGACAACAACAACAUAUGGGUUCAAUCCAUGAAUAUGGCCUUAACGGUCAAGAACAAACUCGGACUUGGUCAAGACAUGGCUGUUAGGUUCCAUGUUGAAAGAGAUUUCAGGGAGCGUCAUCAACUACAAGGAUGCUCGACAGAUGUGCACCGAUUUGCUGGAAAGGUUCUCACAUAUGAAUAUGGUUCAAUUAUUCCAUGUUGAGAAUAAGAUCCAUGAUUGUAUCCAAGGCAAUAUGAGUGACCUUCGCUCGAGGAAGAUGAUUGGGAAGGGAACUGAAAGGGAGAGACUCUACUACCUCGACCCAUCGAAGAAAAGAACAUGCAACAGUAUCCAUGCCGUCUGAGCAAAGCUUUGGCACCAACGCCUAGGACACCCAUAUCAUAAAGCCUUUUUGUUAUUCCCAUUUUUAAAUAAUGAGACUUAUGAUUCGGACAAAUGUUUAAUUUGCCCAUUGGCCAAACAAACAAGAUCGCCCUUUCCAUUAAGUUCUAUUUCUACCAAAUCAUGUUUUGAAUUAUUACAUAUUGAUAUCUGGGGUGGUUAUCA
Molecule: long non-coding RNA, 733 nt
Organism: Malus domestica (apple)
Lineage: Eukaryota; Viridiplantae; Streptophyta; Magnoliopsida; Rosales; Rosaceae
Source: RefSeq, a predicted model, not a curated record